Molecule: ribosomal RNA, 248 nt
Filed under: uncultured bacterium
Lineage: Bacteria
Description: partial 16S ribosomal RNA
Rfam family: Bacterial small subunit ribosomal RNA
Source: RNAcentral
CGGGGUACGGGGUACGGGGUAGGUAAGUAAUGUUCGGUAAAACCGUCCGAUGGAGGGGGAUAACUACUGGAAACGGUAGCUAAUACCGCAUAACGCCGCAAGACCAAAGAGGGGGACCUUCGGGCCUCUUGCCAUCGGAUGUGCCCAGAUGGGAUUAGCUAGUAGGUGGGGUAACGGCUCACCUAGGCGACGAUCCCUAGCUGGUCUGAGAGGAUGACCAGCCACACUGGAACUGAGACACGGUCCAG